This 467-nucleotide ribosomal RNA is filed under the name uncultured bacterium. RNAcentral describes it as "partial 16S ribosomal RNA". It matches the Rfam family "Bacterial small subunit ribosomal RNA", at positions 29 to 507 of the family's 1533-position model. The record is from RNAcentral.
ACGAACGCUGGCGGCGUGCUUAACACAUGCAAGUCGAACGGAAAGGCCCUGCUUUUGUGGGGUGCUCGAGUGGCGAACGGGUGAGUAACACGUGAGUAACCUGCCCUUGACUUUGGGAUAACUUCAGGAAACUGGGGCUAAUACCGGAUAGGAGCUCCUGCUGCAUGGUGGGGGUUGGAAAGUUUCGGCGGUUGGGGAUGGACUCGCGGCUUAUCAGCUUGUUGGUGGGGUAGUGGCUUACCAAGGCUUUGACGGGUAGCCGGCCUGAGAGGGUGACCGGCCACAUUGGGUCUGAGAUACGGCCCAGACUACUACGGGAGGCAGCAGUGGGGAAUAUUGAACGAUGGACGGAAGACUGAUGCAGCAGCGCCGCGUGCGGGGUGACGGCCUUCGGGUUGUAAACCGCUUUCGCCUGUGACGAAGCGUGAGUGACGGUAAUGGGUAAAGAAGCACCGACUAACUACGUG